This 541-nucleotide long non-coding RNA is filed under the name Panax ginseng (ginseng). RNAcentral describes it as "long non-coding RNA (PGIN_LNC002089)". Lineage: Eukaryota; Viridiplantae; Streptophyta; Magnoliopsida; Apiales; Araliaceae. The record is from RNAcentral.
CGAAUUUUUAUCCGAUUUUCGUGGGUUCAAGUUUUGAAUUUAAGCUAUUCGGCUAACUGCAUAAUCGAACAACUUAUAAAAAAAUUGCAAGUCUUAAAGGUUAACAUUAUAAUCUCUCUUGUAUGAGUCUGAUCUUUUAUGAGUUAUGGCUCGUCAUUCAUCUCUACCCUAAGUCCCUAACCUAAGGCCAAAACCUCAGUACUCCCCAAAUCGCUGCAUAAGGUCUUCCACAGCCUCGCCCUCCGCAGCCCGCCCUUCGCAUCCUCUACCCUUCUGAGUUCUGGCCUUCUACGAUCCCCAAAUCGUCGCCUAUGGUCCUCCGCCUUCCGCCUAGUUAGGCUCGUGCUCUUUCAAUUGUGAGCUGGUAAACCUUUGCUUUUCUGAAUUGGGUCUCAGUUUACUUCCUCUAUUUCUUAAGAGCAUUCAUCAUCUGGGUUUUUGCGUAUAUAGGGUCAUUGAGGAUUUGUUUUGUGAAUCAAACAAUGGAAGAAGAUGAAGAAAAUAGAUUUUUAUGCAAGUUUUAUAACAAGAUUUAGUGGAA